This is a long non-coding RNA of Oncorhynchus tshawytscha (Chinook salmon), 546 nucleotides long. NCBI's taxonomy places the organism in Eukaryota, Metazoa, Chordata, Actinopteri, Salmoniformes, Salmonidae. The record is from Ensembl.
GGGGGCGGCAGGUAGCCUAGUGGUUAGAGUGGGGGGUGGCAGGUAGCCUAGUGGUUAGAGUGGGGGGUGGCAGGUAGCCUAGUGGUUAGAGUGGGGAGGCGGCAGGUAGCCUAGUGGUUAGAGUGGAGGGGCGGCAGGUAGCCUAGUGGUUAGAGUGGGGGGCGGCAGGUAGCCUAGUGGUUAGAGUGGGGGGGCGGCAGGUAGCCUAGUGGUUAGAGUGGAGGGGCGGCAGGUAGCCUAGUGGUUAGAGUGGAGGGGCGGCAGGUAGCCUAGUGGUUAGAGUGGAGGGGCGGCAGGUAGCCUAGUGGUUAGAGUGGAGGGGCGGCAGGUAGCCUAGUGGUUAGAGUGGGGGAGGCGGCAGGUAGCCUAGUGGUUAGAGUGGAGGGGCGGCAGGUAGCCUAGUGGUUAGAGUGGGGGAGGCGGCAGGUAGCCUAGUGGUUAGAGGAGAGGGGCGGCAGGUAGCCUAGUGGUUAGAGUGGGGAGGCGGCAGGUAGCCUAGUGGUUAGAGUGGAGGGGCGGCAGGUAGCCUAGUGGUUAGAGUGGGGG